CCAAUAGCGUAUAUUAAAGUUGUUGCAGUUAAAAAGCUCGUAGUUGAAUUUCAGGCCUGGCUGGACGGUCCGCCUUUUGGGUGAGUACUGUCUGUGGUCGGGUCCUACCUUCUGGCGAAGCGUCAUGGCCUUAACCGGCCGUGGCGGGGAACCAGGACUUUUACUGUGAAAAAAUUAGAGUGUUCAAAGCAGGCAAUCGCUUGGAUACAUUAGCAUGGAAUAAUGGAAUAGGACAAUGGUUCUAUUUGUUGGUUUCUAGGACCGUUGUAAUGAUUAAUAGGGAUAGUUGGGGGCAUUAGUAUUAAAUUGUCAGAGGUGAAAUUCUUGGAUUUAUUGAAGACUAACUACUGCGAAAGCAUUUGCCAAGGAUGUUUUCAUUAAUCAAGAACGAAAGUUAGGGGAUCGAAGACGAUCAGAUACCGUCGUAGUCUUAACCAUAAACUAUGCCGACUAGGAAUCGGGCGAUGUUGACAAAAUGACGCGCUCGGCACCUCAUG
This 497-nucleotide ribosomal RNA is filed under the name uncultured Glomeromycotina. RNAcentral describes it as "partial small subunit ribosomal RNA". It matches the Rfam family "Eukaryotic small subunit ribosomal RNA", at positions 591 to 1092 of the family's 1831-position model. Lineage: Eukaryota; Fungi; Glomeromycota. The record is from RNAcentral.